Manis javanica (Malayan pangolin) is the source of this 473-nucleotide non-coding RNA. Lineage: Eukaryota; Metazoa; Chordata; Mammalia; Pholidota; Manidae. The record is from RefSeq and is a predicted model, not a curated record.
UUCCUGGCGCGCGUGCGGCCGAGGCCCCCACGGUGCUCGGCCCGGGCCCGCCGGCCGCCCGGGACGCACGGGGUCCCGAGAGCGCGGAAACGCGGCCUCCUCCGGGGAGGACGCCCGGCUGCUGCCGCGGCCCCAGACGGCGGCCCUGAGUUUCGAUGCUGAAAAGGUCCAAUUCGGUCUGACGUACGGGAACAGCCACCAUUCUAUGCCAACACUUCCAUGAGGGCAGCCGUCUUUCCCAUAGAAUCUCUGGGAUCUCCGACCGGACAGCCCUAACGGUUCAGGCAGAGGGCGCUAUGGAGCCAGCAGACGGGAUGUGUGUAGCCUGUGGAUGCUCCGCAAGGAGAGGCCCAGAGAUGUUAUGAAUGCCAUCCGCCAGCCGUUGGAGGCACAUUCCACUCUUUUCUCUGGUGCAGCGGACAAGAAUUCAACUCACAUACAGUAAGGUAAAGUAGAAACCCUGGGAGAGCACA